UCCUUUUGGUUCUUAAGAGCAUGUGUUCGAUAAGCUAAUACGCGAUCCGCCGUAAGGCCCGAUUUUGAAGAUUGAAAUUGCGAUUUUAGUACUAUGAUCUAUGAGUCUGAAGGAUAAUAAAUCAUGGAUUAUUAACUCAAGAUAGGCUCAUGUUCGAGAAUCCAAAAAUGAAAAUUAAAUUUUCUUGGAUGUCAGUUAGGCAGGUUUCUGUGAUUUUUCGUACGGAUGAUCUCCAUGG
Molecule: long non-coding RNA, 238 nt
Filed under: Musa acuminata (dwarf banana)
Lineage: Eukaryota; Viridiplantae; Streptophyta; Magnoliopsida; Zingiberales; Musaceae
Description: long non-coding RNA (MACU_LNC005900)
Source: RNAcentral